Molecule: long non-coding RNA, 1368 nt
Organism: Scylla paramamosain (green mud crab)
Lineage: Eukaryota; Metazoa; Arthropoda; Malacostraca; Decapoda; Portunidae
Exons: 2
Source: RefSeq, a predicted model, not a curated record
UCCACCUGUCUGGCGCCCGACCUCAAAGCGAGCACUCGCACCUAACCAUCGCCGGUGUUUCACGAGAGACAGACGGGUAAACACCAAGGUAAGGCUGACGAAUCCCCGCGCAAUGACUCGCUACCUCUUCCACCCCACCAACCUGAACGAGCGCAACAAGAUCGUCUCCAUGUGGUUUAACGGGAUGUCCACUCGAACUAUCGCGCGGGAGGUGGGCGUCAGUCCUUCAACAGUGUGCAGGUGGAUCAACCGGUGGAAGCAAGAGUGCAACGUGUACAACAGACCUCGCGCUUACCACCUGUGCUACGCGAGGCUGGCAAUGGGCCACGCGUACAGCCCUUACAUGUAGGCAGUUCUUAAACCCGUACUCUGAAACACUUUGCUCUCACCAUGGCUAUUUUCAAACACACCGCAGAUAUUAGAAGUCAGAUUCUCAAGAGUUUUUCUCCUGUUAAUGAAGUAGAAAUCUUUGUUAAUCUAUCACCAAAACCUUUAAACACUCUAAAAGUCUCUAUAACUUGAUCUAUAGUCUUUUAAAAGUAGGUAUAGGAUGCAAAAAUGUUUCAGAAUACAGUCCUUAAAGUUACAGCACUCGUUCUGAAUACCUAUUGACUCUAUGAUUGUUUCUAACGACUUAUAUUCCUAAUCCUUGUUUAAUUAUAUUUUUGUUUAUACAAUGUAUGCAUGUGCAAGAUUUAAAUCCUUGUGCAAAUUCAAAUUUGUUUAUUCUUGAUAUAAACGAACUCCAGAAAAUUAAACUCAGUCGAUAUCUGCACACGUUAUACCAAUUUAUAAACUAAGGAACCACACUGAAGCGCUUUUUUUAUAUAUACAAAUAUGCAAGAUGAUCAUUGGUGUUGUGUUCUCGGCUGAUUCAGUGAUGAAUUUUAAUAACGAAAUAUCGGCAUUCUCCUCUGCCCCAACACUGUCCUGAGUAAAACACCUAACACACGUUCAGUUUGUAAAGCAUCAACUGACGUGUACUAAAUGGUGUUCUCUCUACUAAUGGUGGCAGCACCAAGACUUCCCUCAGGUAAUAACAUUAUGGUCGACUCAAAUUAGCUCUUCAUAGUUAAAAGAAAUGUCAAAUAACUAACGAUUAACCAACAAGCAUGUUACUUUACUGAAACUUGUUCUCAAAUUAAUAUCAGCGCUGUUAAUGUUUCAACUGUACUUAAUAAAUAUUUCCACAAGUACAACUAAGUGUAUGACAUCCGAGUGAGAGCAUUAAAAUUAUGAUCAUCGUUGAAUGAGAAUUUUUGUAAGUAAAGUUUUGUCUCAGCUACCUCUAAAAGGAGAAUGUCAGGCUGGUAAAUACAGUUCUUCUUAUUGUAAAAAUAACUGUUAAAUAAAGUCCCGUUUCUCUUG